Molecule: long non-coding RNA, 555 nt
Organism: Herpailurus yagouaroundi (jaguarundi)
Lineage: Eukaryota; Metazoa; Chordata; Mammalia; Carnivora; Felidae
Exons: 3
Source: RefSeq, a predicted model, not a curated record
AGGCCCAGAGGCCCGAGCCCUUGACCUCGGUCUGCACAGCUGGGAAGGCAGCCCGGUGAUUUUAUCCUUCCCACCGGUGCUUGUAGGAGGUAAUACAAGAGGGCAAGGUCACUUAUAAGGAAUUAGGAGUGGGAACGGCUUUGGACUUGACGAGGGCUACACUGACAAGAAGGGGAUGGAGCCAGUCCUACGCGGUUGGCCCCUGCCCAGCUUCUUCUGUAGGAAAAUGAUUUCCAGACUAGAAUUCUACCCAGUGCUAUAGACUGAAUAUCUGCAGCCCCACCCCCAGGAGCCCCCGCUCUGCCGUGGGCAGACCCAACCGUGCCCGGGGCUGAGGGCAAGCAAGGGCAGAAGGCGGCAGACGCCGGAGCCCAGCGCCGGUCUGAACCCCAACUCCACCCCUGCCGGCUGUGUGACCCUGGGCGAGGCACCUGCCCUCUCUGUGCUUUGGGUUUCCCCUUCCAUGAACGAGAGAACGCCUGGGGAUGAGGCACGCGGCUCUCUGUUGGCUGCCUACCACGGAGCCUGUUACCGGGUGAGCUCUCUAGCUUUGUG